AAACAAGCUUUAGCUUUAUUAUAUAUUAGUUCUGGAUCCGUGAAUGUUACUUUUACUGAAUGUUGAUGUGAAACCAAAAUGUACUGUGGUAGUAGCCGAAAGCUGUUUGAUCUUCUGAUGAUUAGUUGUGGAUAUAGCUGAGUUGUUGGUCUAGAAAGGUCUCAGGCAAUAAGACAUCUAGCCAGCCUUUGGUGUGUUGCUACUGUUUUCUUCCUCUGAUUGUACUAAUAUAUUUCUUUGUAUUGAAGCUUGCAAACACAGAAGAAUACAUAGACGGGGCGCUGUCUGGACACCUGGGUGAAGUUUUAAUAAGGUGUAACAACGUCCUUUAUAUCAGAGGUGUUGAAGAAGAGGAAGAAGAUGGGGAAAUGAGGGAAUAGCAGCUUUUGUGUGGUUUUUUUAUAUAUAUUUCUAGACAAUAAAGAUCUGUUUGUUUUUCACCUUGA
This is a long non-coding RNA of Carlito syrichta (Philippine tarsier), 446 nucleotides long. RefSeq lists it as uncharacterized. NCBI's taxonomy places the organism in Eukaryota, Metazoa, Chordata, Mammalia, Primates, Tarsiidae. The record is from RefSeq and is a predicted model, not a curated record. The transcript has 2 exons.